Molecule: long non-coding RNA, 953 nt
Filed under: Homo sapiens (human)
Lineage: Eukaryota; Metazoa; Chordata; Mammalia; Primates; Hominidae
Description: HSALNT0156469
Source: RNAcentral
CAGCAAGCGGGAAGAAACAGGCAGCCAAGUCGAAAGAGGAGCUAGCUCAGGAAAAGAAGAAGGAGCUGGAAAAGCGUCUGCAGGAUGUCAGCGGGCAGCUGAGCAGCAGCAAGAAGCCCGCCCGGAAAGAGAAGCCCGGCUCAGCACCCUCAGGGGGCCCGUCCAGGCUCAGCAGCAGCAGCUCCUCCGAGUCUGGGAGCAGCAGCUCCAGCGGGUCCAGCUCUGACAGCAGUGACUCAGAAUGAACUGGCUUCGGACAGAACAGGACAGAUGGAUGUCGCACACGCCGAGACUCUGCCGUACCCCUCUGUGGUUCAUAUUACUACUUCUGUUCCAUGGUGUGCAGGUCUGCUUCUUAAUUCAGUGUUAUGAUAUCUUCCAGUUUUUGCUUUCAUAGGUCAGAGAUCUAUCUUGUGUGUGCGUUAGACUUGAUGAGAAGGUGUGAACUCUGCAGAAAGUCUCUUCUUCAUCACUGAAUUCAGUCACUUGGAGAUGACAACUUCAAAUGCUAACCCGAUGACCCCAGAAAACCGUGUGAGAUUCGUACCGAAGAACCUUGUGGAAUCCCUUUGCUUAGGCCCAACCUGGUCGAUAGCUCGAGAAAGAAUUUUUUCCAAGGAAAUGUCUCGGAUAUGGGUACUGUAUUUGAAAGCUGUUAGCUUUGUCAACACGCAUUGUCCUUGUCAUUUGGGCCCCGAGCUCUGACCCUCGUGUCUGACGCGGCCACCUCUUUCUGGAGGGGCUGAGGACAGAUGUGCCUGCUUGUGGAGACCAGGCUGGGCCUAAGCGAAGGGUCAUCGCAGCCCCAGCCCGGAGCGUGGAGCCCUUGGGGGGUGGUCGGGUGGGAUGUGCGUUCUCCGCUCGUGGUGAUGUCAGGAGCUCCUCGGAGGGAACAGAGCGGCUGUGUAUGCAGCCUGCAGGUUUCCAUACACUGAAGCUUUUACCUCAACUUU